This 468-nucleotide ribosomal RNA is filed under the name uncultured bacterium. Its description in RNAcentral is "partial 16S ribosomal RNA". It matches the Rfam family "Bacterial small subunit ribosomal RNA", at positions 28 to 507 of the family's 1533-position model. The record is from RNAcentral.
GACGAACGCUGGCGGCGUGCUUAACACAUGCAAGUCGAACGGAAAGGCCCUGCUUUUGUGGGGUGCUCGAGUGGCGAACGGGUGAGUAACACGUGAGUAACCUGCCCUUGACUUUGGGAUAACUUCAGGAAACUGGGGCUAAUACCGGAUAGGAGCUCCUGCUGCAUGGUGGGGGUUGGAAAGUUUCGGCGGUUGGGGAUGGACUCGCGGCUUAUCAGCUUGUUGGUGGGGUAGUGGCUUACCAAGGCUUUGACGGGUAGCCGGCCUGAGAGGAUGACCGGCCACAUUGGGACUGAGAUACGGCCCAGACUCCUACGGGAGGCAGCAGUGGGGAAUAUUGCACAAUGGGCGGAAGCCUGAUGCAGCAACGCCGCGUGCGGGAUGACGGCCUUCGGGUUGUAAACCGCUUUCGCCUGUGACGAAGCGUGAGUGACGGUAAUGGAUAAAGAAGCACCGGCUAACUACGUG